RNAcentral lists this transfer RNA (73 nucleotides) under Fluviicoccus keumensis. It matches the Rfam family "tRNA". Rfam says of the family: Transfer RNA (tRNA) molecules are approximately 80 nucleotides in length. Lineage: Bacteria; Pseudomonadati; Pseudomonadota; Gammaproteobacteria; Moraxellales; Moraxellaceae. The record is from Rfam by way of RNAcentral. RNAcentral also lists the same sequence under 1 other name.
GGGGCCAUAGCUCAGCUGGGAGAGCGCCAGCUUUGCAAGCUGGAUGUCGUCGGUUCGAUCCCGACUGGCUCCA